AUAAAAACAAUAACAACAACAACAACAACAAAUAAUAAUAAUAAUAAUAAUAAUAUUAGUGAUAAUGACAAUAGUAAUAAUAAUAAAAAUAAUGGUGAUAAUAAUAACAAUGAUAAUAACAAUUGUAUUAGUGGUGAAAUAGUAGUGACAAUAAUAAUACUAAUAAUAGUAAUAGUUUAGUGGUAAUAAUAAUAAUAGUAACAAGAUAAUAAAAGUUCUAACAACAGCAGCAGUAGCAACAAUAAAAAUAAGGACCUUUUUGUAAAUAUUUCAAAAAUUAUGAGUAUUUCUAUAAAUCAUAUAAAGUAUUGAGAACAUAGAUCAAAAUGCAAAAUAUAAUUGGGGUAACUUAGAUUGAAACUUAAUUCUUAUCAUGGGAAUAAAGUUAUGAUUUCUUAGUCUAACAAAUUUGUGAGUCCCACGUAUUUCAUUUUUAUUCCCCUUAUAUUUUAGCAAGUAAAGAACAUCAAUUAUCCUGAGUGAGUGCAUGCAUUAACGAGUACAUGAUAUCAAACAGUGAAAUCAAACGAAAAUGAUGAUUAUCUUAACAAUUUUUGGCUCAAGUUUGGUAUGGUUGGCUAAUGACUUAUAUGUGUAAUACAAAAUUUGAAACAUCUAUUAGUGGCAAAAUGUGGGUACAUUCUCCAUUAUUUAUCGGAGUAUCUGAUUUGAUUUUGUAGUUGCUUUGUGCUUUCACAUGGACUGUAAGACCCAACUACACUAACCUAGUGCAAAAGAUGGUAACUAGCUAGCUAAUGUUCCCACUAAAACAGAAUAGAAAUUCCCAUUUAAAGUAAAAUCCAACGCAACAACAACUAGCCCACCAAUGGCAACCACUAUCCCAUAAUUGUUCUCCUUCAUCACUUUUUUUUUUCUUUUUCAAUUCUUUAAAUCUUUUUCACUCCACAUCUUCAUAAUUGCCUCUUUACAUAGAAAAGAAAAACUUUUUCCACAGUUCAAGGAUCAUCGAUCACUUCACUAUCUUUUUCUUAUUGCUUGAACAUAAGCACACGCACCUCCUACUAACAAAUAGCGAUGCCCACGAGCUCAAGAACACGGAUGACAUGGGUUUAUAUAAUAUUGAUGCUUGACUUUUAAGUGAUUGUAUUUGCCUAGAAUUUUUGGUGGGGGCAAAAGACACUAUAGCUCUAGGGAUAUGUGUGUAUCAAAAUAUAGUAAAGAUGAAAUAAUGGUGGCAAAAGUGCUUCCACAAUUAUGUAUGUAGGGUUAGCUUAAUUUGGUGGGCAUGCUUUUCAACUUUUGGUCAUUUCUUCUUCCGUUUUCUCAAGUAGUCAAGUGGGGGUGCCUUUGAAAAUCUAGGGUAUUGGUGUCUUGUCUUUCGUCCUUGAUGUUUAACACUCACUUGCGACAAUCAAAAUUGGUUUGUUGGACACCCAAUACCAAUAGGCAUAGGGCACCCAUUUGUGGAAAAAUGAUUUGGCUAGUGUCUGCUUUUUUCUUUUUUUCUUUUAUCUCAUACAUGAUGUAAAUUGUUUUUACUGUUGUCUUAUGAAAAUAUGAAAUCAUUUUCUUUCCAAGUACCAAAUUCAUAAGAAGCUAAGGUUGCGUCUAUGUUGUUCAAUGCUCAUGGCGUAAGAUGUCCCUUCUUUGGUCUAUAUGUAGUCUUGCCCUUAGAUCCUAAUCACUUUAAUCCCACGUUUCAAAAGUUGACACGUUAUUACUCAUUUCAUCACAGACAUGUCAGUUGUGAAGGUUAAAAAAUUUUGUAACUUUUUAUUGUUUUGAUUUGUUUGUCCCUUCAAAUAUUUGAUGUGCCGACAUAUUUGAAUUCACCAAAAUACUUCUUAUCAUG
RNAcentral lists this long non-coding RNA (1813 nucleotides) under Citrus x clementina. RNAcentral's name for it is "Citrus clementina (C. clementina) long non-coding RNA (CCLE_LNC003256)". Lineage: Eukaryota; Viridiplantae; Streptophyta; Magnoliopsida; Sapindales; Rutaceae. The record is from RNAcentral.